GGACUACUGGGGUAUCUAAUCCUGUUCGCUCCCCACGCUUUCGCUCCUCAGCGUCAGUAUUGGCCCAGAUCACCGCCUUCGCUACUGGUGUUCCUCCUGAUAUCUGCGCAUUCCACCGCUACACCAGGAAUUCCGUGAUCCCCUACCAAACUCUAGUCACGACAGUUUCGGGUGGCGGCCCCAGGUUAAGCCUGGGGGUUUAACACCCGACUUGUCGAACCGCCUACGAGCUCUUUACGCCCAAUAAAUCCGAAUAACGCUCGCACCCUAUGUAUUACCGCGGCUGCUGGCAC
This 293-nucleotide ribosomal RNA is filed under the name uncultured bacterium. RNAcentral's name for it is "partial 16S ribosomal RNA". The record is from RNAcentral.